RNAcentral lists this unclassified non-coding RNA (145 nucleotides) under soil metagenome. Its description in RNAcentral is "partial internal transcribed spacer 1". The record is from RNAcentral.
UAAUAAGUGCUUUAUGGCACUUUUUAAAUCCAUAUCCACCUUGUGUGCAAUGUCAGUCGAUCUUCUUCAUGGAGAUCGACCAAACAUCAACCUUUAUUUUUUAACUCUUUGUCUGAAAAAUAUUAUGAGUAAACAAUUCAAAAUA